GGUUAAGCGACUAAGCGUACACGGUGGAUGCCCUGGCAGUCAGAGGCGAUGAAGGACGUGCUAAUCUGCGAAAAGCGCCGGUAAGGUGAUAUGAACCGUUAUAGCCGGCGAUGUCCGAAUGGGGAAACCCAGUGUGACUCGUCACACUAUCAUUAACUGAAUCCAUAGGUUAAUGAGGCGAACCGGGGGAACUGAAACAUCUAAGUACCCCGAGGAAAAGAAAUCAACCGAGAUUCCCCCAGUAGCGGCGAGCGAACGGGGAGGAGCCCAGAGUCUGAAUCAGCUUGUGUGUUAGUGGAAGCGUCUGGAAAGUCGCGCGAUACAGGGUGACAGCCCCGUACACAAAAGCACACAGGCUGUGAGCUCGAUGAGUAGGGCGGGACACGUGGUAUCCUGUCUGAAUAUGGGGGGACCAUCCUCCAAGGCUAAAUACUCCUGACUGACCGAUAGUGAACCAGUACCGUGAGGGAAAGGCGAAAAGAACCCCGGCGAGGGGAGUGAAAAAGAACCUGAAACCGUGUACGUACAAGCAGUGGGAGCCUCUUAAUGGGGUGACUGCGUACCUUUUGUAUAAUGGGUCAGCGACUUAUAUUCUGUAGCAAGGUUAACCGAAUAGGGGAGCCGAAGGGAAACCGAGUCUUAACUGGGCGUUAAGUUGCAGGGUAUAGACCCGAAACCCGGUGAUCUAGCCAUGGGCAGGUUGAAGGUUGGGUAACACUAACUGGAGGACCGAACCGACUAAUGUUGAAAAAUUAGCGGAUGACCUGUGGCUGGGGGUGAAAGGCCAAUCAAACCGGGAGAUAGCUGGUUCUCCCCGAAAGCUAUUUAGGUAGCGCCUCGUGAAUUCAUCUCCGGGGGUAGAGCACUGUUUCGGCUAGGGGGCCAUCCCGGCUUACCAACCCGAUGCAAACUGCGAAUACCGGAGAAUGUUAUCACGGGAGACACACGGCGGGUGCUAACGUCCGUCGUGAAGAGGGAAACAACCCAGACCGCCAGCUAAGGUCCCAAAGUCAUGGUUAAGUGGGAAACGAUGUGGGAAGGCCCAGACAGCCAGGAUGUUGGCUUAGAAGCAGCCAUCAUUUAAAGAAAGCGUAAUAGCUCACUGGUCGAGUCGGCCUGCGCGGAAGAUGUAACGGGGCUAAACCAUGCACCGAAGCUGCGGCAGCGACACUGUGUGUUGUUGGGUAGGGGAGCGUUCUGUAAGCCUGCGAAGGUGGCCUGUGAGGGUUGCUGGAGGUAUCAGAAGUGCGAAUGCUGACAUAAGUAACGAUAAAGCGGGUGAAAAGCCCGCUCGCCGGAAGACCAAGGGUUCCUGUCCAACGUUAAUCGGGGCAGGGUGAGUCGACCCCUAAGGCGAGGCCGAAAGGCGUAGUCGAUGGGAAACAGGUUAAUAUUCCUGUACUUGGUGUUACUGCGAAGGGGGGACGGAGAAGGCUAUGUUAGCCGGGCGACGGUUGUCCCGGUUUAAGCGUGAAGGUGUGUGCUCCAGGCAAAUCCGGAGUGCUUUAACACUGAGGCGUGAUGACGAGGCACUACGGUGCUGAAGUAACAAAUGCCCUGCUUCCAGGAAAAGCCUCUAAGCAUCAGGUAACACGAAAUCGUACCCCAAACCGACACAGGUGGUCAGGUAGAGAAUACCAAGGCGCUUGAGAGAACUCGGGUGAAGGAACUAGGCAAAAUGGUGCCGUAACUUCGGGAGAAGGCACGCUGAUAUGUAGGUGAAGCGACUUGCUCGUGGAGCUGAAAUCAGUCGAAGAUACCAGCUGGCUGCAACUGUUUAUUAAAAACACAGCACUGUGCAAACACGAAAGUGGACGUAUACGGUGUGACGCCUGCCCGGUGCCGGAAGGUUAAUUGAUGGGGUCAUCCGUAAGGAGAAGCUCUUGAUCGAAGCCCCGGUAAACGGCGGCCGUAACUAUAACGGUCCUAAGGUAGCGAAAUUCCUUGUCGGGUAAGUUCCGACCUGCACGAAUGGCGUAAUGAUGGCCAGGCUGUCUCCACCCGAGACUCAGUGAAAUUGAACUCGCUGUGAAGAUGCAGUGUACCCGCGGCAAGACGGAAAGACCCCGUGAACCUUUACUAUAGCUUGACACUGAACACUGGUCCUUGAUGUGUAGGAUAGGUGGGAGGCUUUGAAGCGUGGACGCCAGUCUGCGUGGAGCCAUCCUUGAAAUACCACCCUUUAAUGGCUGGUGUUCUAACGUGGACCCGUAAUCCGGGUUGCGGACAGUGUCUGGUGGGUAGUUUGACUGGGGCGGUCUCCUCCUAAAGCGUAACGGAGGAGCACGAAGGUCAGCUAAUCCUGGUCGGACAUCAGGAGGUUAGUGCAAUGGCAUAAGCUGGCUUGACUGCGAGCGUGACGGCGCGAGCAGGUGCGAAAGCAGGUCAUAGUGAUCCGGUGGUUCUGAAUGGAAGGGCCAUCGCUCAACGGAUAAAAGGUACUCCGGGGAUAACAGGCUGAUACCGCCCAAGAGUUCAUAUCGACGGCGGUGUUUGGCACCUCGAUGUCGGCUCAUCACAUCCUGGGGCUGAAGUAGGUCCCAAGGGUAUGGCUGUUCGCCAUUUAAAGUGGUACGCGAGCUGGGUUUAGAACGUCGUGAGACAGUUCGGUCCCUAUCUGCCGUGGGCGCUGGAGAAUUGAGGGGGGCUGCUCCUAGUACGAGAGGACCGGAGUGGACGCAUCACUGGUGUUCGGGUUGUCAUGCCAAUGGCACUGCCCGGUAGCUAAAUGCGGAAGAGAUAAGUGCUGAAAGCAUCUAAGCACGAAACUUGCCCCGAGAUGAGUUCUCCCUGAGACUUUAAGUCUCCUGAAGGAACGUUGAAGACGACGACGUUGAUAGGCCGGGUGUGUAAGCGCAGCGAUGCGUUGAGCUAACCGGUACUAAUGAACCGUGAGGCUUAACCUU
Molecule: ribosomal RNA, 2906 nt
Filed under: Kosakonia sacchari
Lineage: Bacteria; Pseudomonadati; Pseudomonadota; Gammaproteobacteria; Enterobacterales; Enterobacteriaceae
Description: 23S ribosomal RNA
Rfam family: Bacterial large subunit ribosomal RNA
Source: RNAcentral